This is a long non-coding RNA of Pelobates fuscus (common spadefoot toad), 325 nucleotides long. RefSeq lists it as uncharacterized. The transcript has 2 exons. The record is from RefSeq and is a predicted model, not a curated record. NCBI's taxonomy places the organism in Eukaryota, Metazoa, Chordata, Amphibia, Anura, Pelobatidae.
GUGGUUGACGCUAACUCGCAACAUACCAAGACCGAGGCAGGCAUGACUCUUACCAAUCAUUAAAGGGACAAUGUCAUCCACCAAACAUGUUUCUUGGUGUUUUCAUCCCUAUACACUGCUUUCCUCUUUACCCAAAUCACUAGUCUUGGCUGUAUUUAUUGAAGGACUGAUCAUCAAGUCUUUGGACCAUGCAUCAGCAAAGAGCAAGCAAUACCAAAGGAUAAACACCGAAUUAAAGUCACCGUGUCUUAGGACUGGCUAUGUAACUGGCUGUCAAACAUCUGGCAAAACACUAUAAUUCAGUGCUUAGUGAGUAAAACCCUCA